GUAAGAGUAUUUUCUAAUUUUAAAGUCUACUUAAUGAGCUUAAUUGCUUCAGUAACCACUUUUGAUCAAAAUUAUUUAAGUAGGAGAAUAAAUCACUAAAAAUUACAUUCAAACUUUAUACACUUGUCACUCUGCUGAGUCACAAGCAUUGUUUAAAUUGUCUAUUUUUCAUUUUAUUAGAAAUUCCCCAAGAAGAGAGGAGAUAAUGGGAAGAUAAUAGCAGGUUGUGUUUACUGGCUUUGAUUGACAAAGACUCACCAAGAAAAUGCCAGCAACCAUUUGGAAAAGCAAAUUGGCAAAAAUAAUACUUGGUCAUGCUCUGAGGCUGGCAAUUGAACUUUUUCUUCAAACUGUACUUAGUAUUCAAUCAACAUUCACCACACUGCUGUAUCCUUGGGAAUGCAGAGGCAAUCGAGAAAGUGCAGCUGGAGAAAAUCAUGACUCAGAUGCUACUUUGAUGACAGUCAUUAUUAUUUUUGCAUAUCUCAUGAAGGCAUCCCAUGUUAGCACUCUUUCUAUGUGUAAUAUUUGUCACAAACAGCAUGUAAAUUUUAAUUUGUGUAUUUUCUAUCAUUAAAUCAUGCUAAAAGUCACCAUAGCAAUUUCACAAACAAAUUAUGAUAGUUCUGAGCCCAUCAGGCUUACAUUAAGGCAAAAGUUUGAAGAUUUUUUUUUUCCUGUUUUGCUGAGCGUCUAAGAGUUGUCUCCAGUUGUGCAUGAAUGGACACCCGGAGGUAAAACUGGAGCUUUGGUGUGCUGAGACCAGAUAAGGUGAGGCUGGGUUAUAAAGCUUCAGUCUCCAGAGUCCACAUACCAUGAUAGGGUUAGUCUUUCUCCUAGGAUGGUGCAGCGGAAGAUCAGCACACAUUCAAAGGCAGGGCAUGGAAACAUUAGUCUAGAAUAUUCUCUGCCAUGUCCUUGGAUCAUGGGGAUCAUGGGGAUCCCCUUAUUAGCAGGGACUGAUUGGUUUCCAUCAUUGCCAAACCAUCCUGCUCGCCUCACUGGCUAUUUCCAUUCUCAGACCACAUGCUUUCUUUUUUCAAAGUUUCUUUUUGACUACUUCUUUAAUAAAAUUUUAUGGAAAUCUUUAUUGAGAUAUAAAUUAUAUAAUAAAAAUUCACAUUUGAAAUGUAAAAUUCAAUGUUUUUCAAUGUAGUUACAGACUAGAGAAACUAGCACAAUUUUAGAAUAUUGCUGUCACCCUUGAAAAACUCCAUAUCAAUUAAUAGUUCCUCCUCUCCUAAAUCCUUGGAUACCACCAAUCUACUUUCUGUUUCUAGUGAUUUUCCAGUUCUAAAUAUUUAACCUAAUUGCAAACAUUCAGUAUGUGAUCUUUUCAACUGCCUUCUUUUAUCUAGCAG
Molecule: long non-coding RNA, 1361 nt
Filed under: Marmota monax (woodchuck)
Lineage: Eukaryota; Metazoa; Chordata; Mammalia; Rodentia; Sciuridae
Source: RNAcentral